RNAcentral lists this long non-coding RNA (1012 nucleotides) under Anser cygnoides (Swan goose). RNAcentral describes it as "lncRNA (ENSACDG00005000868.1)". Lineage: Eukaryota; Metazoa; Chordata; Aves; Anseriformes; Anatidae. The record is from RNAcentral.
AUGAUGCCAAAAUCUUUUGAGCACAACCCAAGGAAGUCAAAGUGGAAGAUACUCAUUUCACUAGAGAAAAAAGAGAAAGCUCUCCAGAGUGCAAUAUGGGCCCCUGUAGAGAGAGAACUGAGCUGUGCUUUGGCAUUCACAACAACGGAGAGCCUUCAGCAUUUGGCUAGUCCCACAGUCAACCAUUUCCCACAACGUUUCAGGUGUCACCUAAAGCUACUUGUCUACCGAAAUGAAGAUACAGUGACAGUCCAAGAGCUGCAGCAAGAAAGCAAGGAGAGAUACAAGAAUUAAAGACUUUGUGUCACCAAUGUUUUCUCUCCGUAAUUAAAAUUAUGGUGUGAUGUGGUUUUGAAAGGAUCAAAUUAUUUUUUUUUCAUGUUGCUCAUUUUCCUUCUCCUUCAUCCCCAUUCUCAUCACUUUCCACCACUGAACAACAGAGGUUUUGCCUGUUCUUGCCCUUGCACCAGAACCCUUUCUUCUCUUUCUUUUAACUGAAUCCUUCAGAUCAGGAGGUGAUCAUCUGCUUCUGGGCUGUCCAGAGCUAGGCAAGGAUUGCAGCACCUCAUGGAACCUCAUUUCUCACCACAGUUCCCUACGUCUAAGACUCUGGGUGGGAAUGAAGGCAUAGUCCUGGCCUACAUGUAGAGCAUUGCACCAGCUCCAAGGGCAGGACUGCGAUGAGCCUGUGGUGCAAACCAGCAGGGAACUACCCAGGCCUGAAACAAGCCUCCAAGAAGUCAAUGACAAAACUCCCACUGACCUGAAUUGGGUUUGGAUCAGCAUUCUGGUGAGACAAUUUCAGAGGUAAGUUAAGACUGCACAUAAAUGAUUACUAGUGAUUGCCUUGCUGAUGAGCAGAAGGGAAAGGCUGUGGCAGGAAGACCAAACAGUCAGCAGCAGUAACAAACUAAACUCCUGCAGGAUGAUGUACGGGCAUCUUCUUAUACUUGCCUUUCUGUAACCUCAUCCUUGCAAAUCUCAUUCUUUUAUUAACACAUGGUUUACACCU